RNAcentral lists this ribosomal RNA (479 nucleotides) under uncultured bacterium. RNAcentral describes it as "partial 16S ribosomal RNA". It matches the Rfam family "Bacterial small subunit ribosomal RNA", at positions 28 to 507 of the family's 1533-position model. The record is from RNAcentral.
GAUGAACGCUGGCGGGAGGCCUAACACAUGCAAGCCGAGCGGUAUUUGUUCUUCGGAACAGAGAGAGCGGCGCACGGGUGCGGAACACGUGUGCAACCUGCCUUUAUCUGGGGGAUAGCCUUUCGAAAGGAAGAUUAAUACCCCAUAAUAUAUUGAGUGGCAUCAUUUGAUAUUGAAAACUCCGGUGGAUAGAGAUGGGCACGCGCAAGAUUAGAUAGUUGGUGAGGUAACGGCUCACCAAGUCAAUGAUCUUUAGGGGGCCUGAGAGGGUGAUCCCCCACACUGGUACUGAGACACGGACCAGACUCCUACGGGAGGCAGCAGUGAGGAAUAUUGGACAAUGGGUUAGCGCCUGAUCCAGCCAUCCCGCGUGAAGGACGACGGCCCUAUGGGUUGUAAACUUCUUUUGUAUAGGGAUAAACCUACUCUCGUGAGAGUAGCUGAAGGUACUAUACGAAUAAGCACCGGCUAACUCCGUG